This 318-nucleotide unclassified non-coding RNA is filed under the name plant metagenome. RNAcentral's name for it is "partial contains small subunit ribosomal RNA and internal transcribed spacer 1". The stretch from base 1 to 46 matches the Rfam family "Eukaryotic small subunit ribosomal RNA", at positions 1786 to 1831 of the family's 1831-position model. The record is from RNAcentral.
AAGUCGUAACAAGGUCUCCGUUGGUGAACCAGCGGGGGGAUCAUUACAGAGUCAUAAAAAACUCCCAAACCCAUGUGAAUUUACCUCAUGUUGCCUCGGCGGAGGGCUUAGGGUUACGGUUACCCUGCAGCGCCAGAUUCCGAAGUUACCUAGUGGCUUUGCGUGAAGGUGCUUAUCUGCAGUGUCUGUCCUUUAUACAGCUAUUUUGAUAGCUCUCUCGACAGAAAUUUGUAACCAGCCCGUAGGCUCCCGCCGGUGGAAAUCUCAAUCCUUGUUAUUAUAAUAGAUAUCUGAGCGUCUUAUUUUAAUAAGUUAAAA